GGAGCUGCAGCUCAGAGGAAAAGAUUCUGCUUUGCAUGUGGAAAGGCCCAAGUUCAAUCCCUGGCAUCUCCA
RNAcentral lists this transfer RNA (72 nucleotides) under Sphaerodactylus townsendi. RNAcentral's name for it is "tRNA-Ala". It matches the Rfam family "tRNA". Rfam says of the family: Transfer RNA (tRNA) molecules are approximately 80 nucleotides in length. Their secondary structure includes four short double-helical elements and three loops (D, anti-codon, and T loops). Lineage: Eukaryota; Metazoa; Chordata; Lepidosauria; Squamata; Sphaerodactylidae. The record is from RNAcentral.